Molecule: transfer RNA, 72 nt
Filed under: Elusimicrobia bacterium RIFCSPLOWO2_12_FULL_59_9
Lineage: Bacteria; Pseudomonadati; Elusimicrobiota
Description: tRNA-Val
Rfam family: tRNA
About the family: Transfer RNA (tRNA) molecules are approximately 80 nucleotides in length. Their secondary structure includes four short double-helical elements and three loops (D, anti-codon, and T loops).
Source: RNAcentral
GGGCCGUUAGCUCAGCGGUAGAGCGCCUGCUUUACACGCAGGAUGUCGGGGGUUCGAAUCCCUCACGGCCCA